GAGGAGUGGCGGACGGGUGAGUAACACGUGGGUAACCUACCCAUCAGAGGGGGAUAACACUUGGAAACAGGUGCUAAUACCGCAUAACAGUUUAUGCCGCAUGGCAUAAGAGUGAAAGGCGCUUUCGGGUGUCGCUGAUGGAUGGACCCGCGGUGCAUUAGCUAGUUGGUGAGGUAACGGCUCACCAAGGCCACGAUGCAUAGCCGACCUGAGAGGGUGAUCGGCCACACUGGGACUGAGACACGGCCCAGACUCCUACGGGAGGCAGCAGUAGGGAAUCUUCGGCAAUGGACGAAAGUCUGACCGAGCAACGCCGCGUGAGUGAAGAAGGUUUUCGGAUCGUAAA
RNAcentral lists this ribosomal RNA (346 nucleotides) under Enterococcus faecalis. Its description in RNAcentral is "bacterial SSU rRNA". It matches the Rfam family "Bacterial small subunit ribosomal RNA", at positions 90 to 429 of the family's 1533-position model. The record is from RNAcentral. Lineage: Bacteria; Bacillati; Bacillota; Bacilli; Lactobacillales; Enterococcaceae.